RNAcentral lists this transfer RNA (73 nucleotides) under Ixodes scapularis (black-legged tick). It matches the Rfam family "tRNA". From Rfam's summary of the family: Transfer RNA (tRNA) molecules are approximately 80 nucleotides in length. Their secondary structure includes four short double-helical elements and three loops (D, anti-codon, and T loops). Further hydrogen bonds mediate the characteristic L-shaped molecular structure. tRNAs have two regions of fundamental functional importance: the anti-codon, which is responsible for specific mRNA codon recognition, and the 3' end, to which the tRNAs corresponding amino acid is attached (by aminoacyl-tRNA synthetases). tRNAs cope with the degeneracy of the genetic code in two manners: having more than one tRNA (with a specific anti-codon) for a particular amino acid; and 'wobble' base-pairing, i.e. permitting non-standard base-pairing at the 3rd anti-codon position. Lineage: Eukaryota; Metazoa; Arthropoda; Arachnida; Ixodida; Ixodidae. The record is from Rfam by way of RNAcentral.
CCCUGGUUAGCUCAGUUGGUAGAGCGUUCCACUGGUAAUGGAGAGCUGCCGGGUAUGAGGCCCGGAGCAGGCG